GUAGGUGGCAAGCGUUGUCCGGAAUUAUUGGGCGUAAAGCGCGCGCAGGCGGUUCUUUAAGUCUGAUGUGAAAGCCCACGGCUCAACCGUGGAGGGUCAUUGGAAACUGGAGUACUUGAGUACAGAAGAGGAAAGCGGAAUUCCACGUGUAGCGGUGAAAUGCGUAGAGAUGUGGAGGAACACCAGUGGCGAAGGCGGCUUUCUGGUCUGUAACUGACGCUGAGGCGCGAAAGCGUGGGGAGCAAACAGGAUUAGAUACCCUGGUAGUCCACGCCGUAAACGAUGAGUGCUAAGUGUUAGGGGGUAUCCGCCCCUUAGUGCUGCAGCUAACGCAUUAAGCACUCCGCCUGGGAGUACGGCCGCAAGGCUG
This 370-nucleotide ribosomal RNA is filed under the name uncultured organism. RNAcentral describes it as "partial 16S ribosomal RNA". It matches the Rfam family "Bacterial small subunit ribosomal RNA", at positions 527 to 896 of the family's 1533-position model. The record is from RNAcentral.